GACGAACGCUGGCGGCGUGCUUAACACAUGCAAGUCGAACGGAAAGGCCCUGCUUUUGUGGGGUGCUCGAGUGGCGAACGGGUGAGUAACACGUGAGUAACCUGCCCUUGACUUUGGGAUAACUUCAGGAAACUGGGGCUAAUACCGGAUAGGAGCUCCUGCUGCAUGGUGGGGGUUGGAAAGUUUCGGCGGUUGGGGAUGGACUCGCGGCUUAUCAGCUUGUUGGUGGGGUAGUGGCUUACCAAGGCUUUGACGGGUAGCCGGCCCUGAGAGGGGGACCGGCCACAUGGGGACUGAGAUACGGCCCAGACUCCUACGGGAGGCAGCAGUGGGGAAUAUUGCACAAUGGGCGGAAGCCUGAUGCAGCAACGCCGCGUGCGGGAUGCCGGCCUUCGGGUUGUAAACCGCUUUCGCCUGUGACGAAGCGUGAGUGACGGUAAUGGGUAAAGAAGCACCGGCUAACUACGUG
RNAcentral lists this ribosomal RNA (469 nucleotides) under uncultured bacterium. Its description in RNAcentral is "partial 16S ribosomal RNA". It matches the Rfam family "Bacterial small subunit ribosomal RNA", at positions 28 to 507 of the family's 1533-position model. The record is from RNAcentral.